Molecule: ribosomal RNA, 167 nt
Filed under: uncultured bacterium
Lineage: Bacteria
Description: partial 16S ribosomal RNA
Rfam family: Bacterial small subunit ribosomal RNA
Source: RNAcentral
GGGUCCCUGCGCGCAGCCUGAUGCAGCCAUGCCGCGUGUGUGAUGAAGGCCUUCGGGUUGUAAAGCUCUUUCACCGGGGAGGAAGGGGGUAGAGCUAAUACCUUUGCCCCCUGAUAAUUCCGUGCCAGCAGCCGCGGUAAUACUCCGUGCCAGCAGCCGCGGUAAUA